This 1321-nucleotide ribosomal RNA is filed under the name metagenome. RNAcentral's name for it is "bacterial LSU rRNA". It matches the Rfam family "Bacterial large subunit ribosomal RNA", at positions 1592 to 2925 of the family's 2925-position model. The record is from RNAcentral.
GGGUGAUGUCAUGCUUCCAAGAAAAGCCCUAUACCCGUUAAGGCAUGAUGGCCUGUACCCGAAACCGACACAGGUGGGGUGGUAGAGAAUACCGAGGGGCGCGAGGUAACUCUCUCUAAGGAACUCGGCAAAAUGGCCCCGUAACUUCGGGAGAAGGGGUGCCACCGCAAGGUGGUCGCAGUGAAGAGGCCCAGGCGACUGUUUACCAAAAACACAGGUCUCCGCUAAGUCGCAAGACGAUGUAUGGGGGCUGACGCCUGCCCAGUGCCGGAAGGUUAAGGAAGCUGGUCAGCGUAAGCGAAGCUAGCGACUGAAGCCCCGGUGAACGGCGGCCGUAACGAUAACGGUCCUAAGGUAGCGAAAUUCCUUGUCGGGUAAGUUCCGACCCGCACGAAAGGCGUAACGAUCUGGGCGCUGUCUCGGAGAGAGGCUCGGCGAAAUAGAAUUGUCUGUGAAGAUGCGGACUACGUGCACCCGGACAGAAAGACCCUAUGAAGCUUUACUGUAGCUUGGUAUUGUGCUCGGGCUCGGAAUGCGCAGGAUAGGUGGGAGGCUAUGAACCAUUGCUUGUGGGUGAUGGUGAGCCACUGGUGAGAUACCACUCUUUCCGAGCUAGAGUUCUAACAGCCACCCGUUAUCCGGGGGCUGGACAGUAUCAGGUGGGCAGUUUGACUGGGGCGGUCGCCUCCUAAAAGGUAACGGAGGCGCGCAAAGGUUUGCUCAGGCUGGUUGGAAAUCAGCCGACGAGUGUAAAAGCAGAAGCAAGCUUGACUGUGAGACCUACAAGUCGAACAGGGAGGAAACUCGGCUUUAGUGAUCCGACGGUUCUGCGUGGAAGGGCCGUCGCUCAACGGAUAAAAGUUACUCUAGGAUAACAGGCUGAUCUCCCCCAAGAGUUCACAUCGACGGGGAGGUUUGGCACCUCGAUGUCGGCUCAUCGCAACCUGGGGCUGAAGUCGGUCCCAAGGGUUGGGCUGUUCGCCCAUUAAAGCGGUACGCGAGCUGGGUUCAGAACGUCGUGAGACAGUUCGGUCCAUAUCCGGUGCAUGCGCAGGAAUAUUGAGAGGAUUUCUCCCUAGUACGAGAGGACCGGGAGGAACGCACCUCUGGUGUACCAGUUAUCGUGCCAACGGUAAACGCUGGGUAGCCAUGUGCGGAGAGGAUAACCGCUGAAAGCAUCUAAGUGGGAAGCCCACCUCAAGAUGAGUAUUCCCAUGGGGUAACCCAGUAAGGUCACGGGAAGAACACCCGUUGAUAGGCUCUACGUGGAAGCGCAGUAAUGUGUGAAGCGGAGGAGUACUAAUAGACCGAGGGCUUGACC